Long non-coding RNA from Parambassis ranga (Indian glassy fish), 355 nucleotides. NCBI's taxonomy places the organism in Eukaryota, Metazoa, Chordata, Actinopteri, Ambassidae. The record is from Ensembl.
AAGUGUGGAAGAAGGAAGCCUAAGGGAGAUUUGGCAGAGGUAGACGAGUUGAGCCAACUGCUUAAGGAUCAGAUCAUAUCGGGGCAGACCACAUCAAACCGGAUGAAACUAGGUCAGGUUGAAUCAAACCAGACUGAGACCAGAUCAGAACGGAGCAGACCAGACUGAUUGUGACGAUACCAGGCCCAUCCAGGAGGCCUGUUCCAGUUUCCUAUUCAGUUGAGGGCUCACGAGUGGAUGGAAGGAGAUGAUUUUAAUACAGAGGCUGUGAUGAACAUCUGUGGUGAGUGUGACACGUGAAACGUCAAAUCUUUUACCUGAAUUUCUGCUCACCAAGUGAUGCAGUCAGUACAGA